RNAcentral lists this ribosomal RNA (499 nucleotides) under uncultured bacterium. RNAcentral's name for it is "partial 16S ribosomal RNA". It matches the Rfam family "Bacterial small subunit ribosomal RNA", at positions 28 to 507 of the family's 1533-position model. The record is from RNAcentral.
GACGAACGCUGGCGGCGUGCCUAAUACAUGCAAGUCGAGCGAAGUUUUUCUGGUGCUUGCACUAGAAAAACUUAGCGGCGAACGGGUGAGUAACACGUAAAGAACCUGCCUCAUAGACUGGGACAACUAUUGGAAACGAUAGCUAAUACCGGAUAACAGUAUUUCUCGCAUGAGAGAUAUUUAAAAGUUGGUUAUGCUAACACUAUGAGAUGGCUUUGCGGUGCAUUAGCUAGUUGGUGGGGUAAAGGCCCACCAAGGCGACGAUGCAUAGCCGACCUGAGAGGGUGAUCGGCCACACUGGGACUGAGACACGGCCCAGACUCCUACGGGAGGCAGCAGUAGGGAAUCUUCCGCAAUGGGCGAAAGCCUGACGGAGCAACGCCGCGUGAGUGAAGAAGGAUUUCGGUUCGUAAAGCUCUGUUGUUAGGGAAGAAUGGAUAUGUAGUAACUAUACAUGUAAGAGACGAUACCUAACCAGAAAGCCACGGCUAACUACGUG